GUGUCCCUUUUGCUGGGUACUUUACUUCCUGGACGCUGGGCCUGGUUGUUUCUUGCCCACCGAGAAGGUCAUCUUCCAGGACUUGAGGGGGUCCCCGGAGGCCUGACCCAUCCCCAGGAUCUGCGGAGAGGAGACAACGCAAGCUAUAAAGAGCGGUUCAGCAUCAUCCCAUCACACAGCUUGCACCAGGAGAUCAGGAAUCCGCAUCUCUGCCUCCAAGAGAGAAAUGAAGCACGCCAGGGCCCGGGAGACCUCAGGGCCUCCCCCACGCCCUCCCUCCAAAGGGGCCUUCAUCCUGAGCUUGGCCUUCAGGACCCUGUGUGUGACGUCACAGUGUUACCUUGCCGACCUCUGUGUGUCCCUGGGCAGGUCACUUAACCUCUCUGUAAGGUGGGGGUGAUGAGUCCCUGCCUUGGAGGCCUGGUGGGAAUAAAUGAGCUGUCUCUCUGUGUGAGGCUCCCAUGAGGGCCUGGCACACAGUAGGCGCCAAGUAAGCGCCGGCUGUGGUCCUUACUGUCCCUGAGCCUCCAGAAGAGGGGACAGAGUGCCAUUGCUGGUGAGAGGGUCACUCGGGGUGAGGCCAGCGGCCACGUCAGCGGCUGACUGUGGUGUGGUGGCGCUCAGGUGUUCUGGUUCAUUCCGUUCCCCUUCCUGUUGGGUUCGCCCUUCCCACCAGCUCUGAAAACCCGGAGUCACCCUGCCCCCAGCCCAAGGCCUGGAGACUGAAGGAUGGGUCUGUGGAGCGAAUGAAGGGGGCUCAGUUUCCUCAUCUGUACAGUGGGUCUUGCAGGCCCAAGGAAUGAGCAAGUGCCUGAGGACAGUGGGCGCUUUGGGAACCCAUCUGUACUUCCUCCCUUCCCAGCUGUGCUCCUCUCCCCCUCCCCUGGGGGGGCGGCCCGGACCCCACCCACCUCAGAACAGGCGUUCUGCCCACAGAGCUGGGCUCCCCACGGACUCAUUCGUUCAUUCAUACCUUCACCCUGUCAGUAAUUUUUUUUUUUAACUUUUUGGCCGCACUCCAUAGGAUGUGGGAUUUUAACUCCCCGACCAGGAGCUCCCCUGCAUGGGAAACACCGAGUCUCAGCUACUCGACCACCAGGGAAGUCCCUCAACAACUUUUUUGAGCACCUACUAAACUCUAGUCUGCAGAGAUAUGGAAACGAAGAAAACAGGCAAAAAUCUCUGUAGAUAUUCUGUUAGUAGAGACAGCCAUCAGAGAUAGUGUGAGUCAAGCUAAGAUUCUCAGGGGCCCAGGUUGUUGAGGGUGGGUGGUCAGGGGAGGCCCUGCCUGCCUCAGUCUGGGCACUUGGGGAAGGCUGUGCGUUCAGACCAGAGGAUGUAGCCAGGUGAAGAGUGGGUGGGGGUGUCCUAGGCGCCAGGGCUGGCCCCUGCAGCAGAUGGGGGAGUGGGCGUGGCAACUGGGGGACCCACCUCUGGCUUGGCCUGGAUGGGGGCAGGGAGAGAGAGGGCAGUGGGGAGCUGGAAAAGGCCUGACCCGACUUAGGUUUUACCGUUGCUCCAGCCACUGCGUGGAGCCGGGACUGGGGGACCACGGUGGCUGGAGGCAGGCAGACGGGAGGGGAGCCUGGAGUCCUGUCCACCCAUCAGAGAACAGGAGGGAGGUCAAGUAACCCCGGAGAUAGGCCCAGGAUGUGGCAGCUGCGGAUUCCUCCCUUCUUCUGGGGAACUGGAUCAGGCAUCAGCAUCACCUCCAGCAUCACCUCCAGCAUCACCUCCAACAUCAUCCUCCAGCAUCACCUCCAGCAUCACAUCCAGCAUCACCACCAUCACCUCCAGCAUCACCUCCAACAUCAUCCUCCAACAUCACCUCCAGCAUCACCUCCAAAUUCAUCCUCCAGCAUCACCUCCAGCAUCACCACCAAGACAACACUUGGGCAGUGGCUGUCCGCCAUUGCACUGCUCACUCCUGUCUGGCCAGGCACUUCCGAGAUGGGACCUCCUUGCAGUUCCACAUGGCGUGACGUCCCACGAGGGUGUUCAUAGCACAUUUAGCACCAGCCCAAGAUUGAAAUCAGAGAAGGCA
This is a long non-coding RNA of Capra hircus (goat), 2044 nucleotides long. RefSeq lists it as uncharacterized. The record is from RefSeq and is a predicted model, not a curated record. The transcript has 3 exons. Lineage: Eukaryota; Metazoa; Chordata; Mammalia; Artiodactyla; Bovidae.